Molecule: ribosomal RNA, 291 nt
Filed under: uncultured bacterium
Lineage: Bacteria
Description: partial 16S ribosomal RNA
Rfam family: Bacterial small subunit ribosomal RNA
Source: RNAcentral
UGUUCCUACGGGAGGCAGCAGUGAGGAAUAUUGGUCAAUGGGCGCGAGCCUGAACCAGCCAAGUCGCGUGAGGGAAGACGGUCCUAUAGAUUGUAAACCUCUUUUGCAGGGGAGCAAAAGACGCCACGUGUGGCGUUCCGAGAGUACCCGAAGAAAAAGCAUCGGCUAACUCCGUGCCAGCAGCCGCGGGAAUACGGAGGAUGCGAGCGUUAUCCGGAUUUAUUGGGUUUAAAGGGGGCGCAGGCGGAAGAUCAAGUCAGCGGGAAAAUUGAGAGGCUCAACCUCUUCGAG